RNAcentral lists this ribosomal RNA (321 nucleotides) under uncultured soil bacterium. RNAcentral describes it as "bacterial SSU rRNA". It matches the Rfam family "Bacterial small subunit ribosomal RNA", at positions 26 to 324 of the family's 1533-position model. The record is from RNAcentral.
AGAACGAACGCUGGCGGCGUGGAUAAGACAUGCAAGUCGAACGCUGAUUAGAGGUUAGCAAUAAUCUCUAGUUGGAGUGGCGCAAGGGUGCGUAACACGUGGGUAAUCUGCCAUGAAGACUGGGAUAACUCGCUGAAAGGCGAGCUAAUACCGGGUAAGACUGUUGGGAGGCAUCUCUUGACAUUGGAAGCUGGGGACUGUAACAGGCCUGGCACUUCAUGAUGAGCCCGCGGCCUAUCAGCUAGUUGGUGAGGUAACGGCUCACCAAGGCGAAGACGGGUANCUGGUCUGAGAGGACGACCAGCCACACUGGAACUGANA